GUGGGGAAUAUUGGACAAUGGGCGAAAGCCUGAUCCAGCCAUGCCGCGUGAGUGAUGAAGGCCUUAGGGUUGUAAAGCUCUUUCAGUAGGGAAGAUAAUGACGGUACCUACAGAAGAAGCCCCGGCUAACUUCGUGCCAGCAGCCGCGGUAAUACGAAGGGGGCUAGCGUUGUUCGGAUUUACUGGGCGUAAAGCGCACGUAGGCGGAUCGUUAAGUCGGGGGUGAAAUCCUGGAGCUCAACUCCAGAACUGCCUUCGAUACUGGCGAUCUUGAGUCCGGAAGAGGUGAGUGGAACUCCUAGUGUAGAGGUGGAAUUCGUAGAUAUUAGGAAGAACACCAGUGGCGAAGGCGGCUCACUGGUCCGGUACUGACGCUGAGGUGCGAAAGCGUGGGGAGCAAACAGGAUUAGAAACCCGUGUAGUCC
This 425-nucleotide ribosomal RNA is filed under the name uncultured bacterium. Its description in RNAcentral is "partial 16S ribosomal RNA". It matches the Rfam family "Bacterial small subunit ribosomal RNA", at positions 354 to 796 of the family's 1533-position model. The record is from RNAcentral.